AGCUGGACAGAGUCAUCUUCUGUGUGUUCUUGCCGUCGGAUAAGGAGCUGUACUUGCAGACCCUCCCGCUCUACUUCCCUGCUGCAGCAGCAGCCGCAGUCAAGAGUAAACUCUGAGAGGGGAUCGGUCCCAUUUGGUUGCUGUGGAUACCACCGCGACGCUCAACAUUCAGGCUGCUCCACCUCGUUGCACAUCAAGACCUUCUUCAGCAGGAAGAUAACUCCUCAAUGUAUGAUUGCUUGUUUUGAAGUGCUGUUCAGCAGAUGUCGAUGAGUUCUUCUUUUUUCCCGUGAAUGGAUGAGAGACGUGUCGUGAUGAAGGUGUAAAAUGAUAUUGAUAAUUUUAGUGAAAAAUUUGACCUUAAGCUGCAUUCUAACUUGACCUUUAUUGUCUUUGAGCAGCUUUGCAUCAAGCUAUGAGUUGUGUCCUGAGCUAGUUAAAUAUUGGGAUUCCUGUGGGUGUGGGUGUGUGUGGCAAUGACAAAAGCUUAUUAAAAUGAAUUACAAAGGC
Long non-coding RNA from Pseudoliparis swirei, 510 nucleotides. RefSeq lists it as uncharacterized. The transcript has 2 exons. The record is from RefSeq and is a predicted model, not a curated record. NCBI's taxonomy places the organism in Eukaryota, Metazoa, Chordata, Actinopteri, Perciformes, Liparidae.